GAUGAAGAACGUAGCGAAAUGCGAUACGUAAUGUGAAUUGCAGAAUUCAGUGAAUCAUCGAGUCUUUGAACGCACAUUGCGCCCCCUGGUAUUCCGGGGGGCAUGCCUGUCCGAGCGUCAUUGCUGCCCUUCAAGCCCGGCUUGUGUGUUGGGUCGUCGUCCCCCCGGGGGACGGGCCCGAAAGGCAGCGGCGGCACCGCGUCCGGUCCUCGAGCGUAUGGGGCUUUGUCACCCGCUCGAUUAGGGCCGGCCGGGCGCCAGCCGGCGUCUCCAACCUUCUAUUUUACCAGGUUGACCUCGGAUCAGGUAGGGAUACCCGCUGAACUUAAGCAUAUCAAUAAGCGGAGGA
This 349-nucleotide unclassified non-coding RNA is filed under the name soil metagenome. RNAcentral's name for it is "partial contains 5.8S ribosomal RNA, internal transcribed spacer 2, and large subunit ribosomal RNA". The stretch from base 1 to 120 matches the Rfam family "5.8S ribosomal RNA", at positions 35 to 154 of the family's 154-position model. The record is from RNAcentral.